Molecule: ribosomal RNA, 429 nt
Filed under: uncultured archaeon
Lineage: Archaea
Description: bacterial SSU rRNA
Rfam family: Archaeal small subunit ribosomal RNA
Source: RNAcentral
UACCAGCUCUCCGAGUGGUGGGGACGCUUAUUGGGCCUAAAGCAUUCGUAGCCGGCUGGGCAAGUCCUCCGUUAAAUCCAACGAUUCAAUCGUUGGCCUGCAGGGGAUACUGUUUGGCUAGGAGGCGGUAGAGGCCGACGGUAUUUCCGGGGUAGGGGUGAAAUCCUAUAAUCCCGGGAGGACCAUCAGUGGCGAAGGCUGUCGGCUGGAACGCGCUCGACGGUGAGGGAUGAAAGCUGGGGGAGCGAGCCGGAUUAGAUACCCGGGUAGUCCCAGCUGUAAACUUUGCAGGCUGGGUGUUGGUGCGGCUACGUGCCGCUCCGGUGCCGUAGGGAAACCGUUAAGCCUGCCGCCUGGGAAGUACGGUCGCAAGGCUGAAACUUAAAGGAAUUGGCGGGGGAGCACCACAAGGGGUGAAGCUUGCGGUUU